This is a small nuclear RNA of Choloepus hoffmanni (Hoffmann's two-fingered sloth), 107 nucleotides long. The record is from Ensembl. NCBI's taxonomy places the organism in Eukaryota, Metazoa, Chordata, Mammalia, Pilosa, Megalonychidae.
AUGUUCACUUCAGCAGCACCUAUGCCAAAACUGGAACCAUACAGAGGAAAUUAGCAUGGCCCCUGUGCAAGGAUGAAGUGCAGCCUUGUGAAGCAUUCCAUAUUUCC